This is a long non-coding RNA of Oxyura jamaicensis (ruddy duck), 3418 nucleotides long. RefSeq lists it as uncharacterized. Lineage: Eukaryota; Metazoa; Chordata; Aves; Anseriformes; Anatidae. The transcript is spliced from 2 exons. The record is from RefSeq and is a predicted model, not a curated record.
UUUCUUCCUUUUUUUUAAUCACUUUCACGGACUUCUAAUGCAUUCAUUUCCUAUUUGUAUGAAUGGUGGCCCUUGGUGGCUAUGGGAAGGUUGAUUCUGGGUUGCGAACUUCUUCACAGUGUUUGGAGAGCAGAGAGGUCAGUGAUGAGAUGGAACAUCUCAUAACUUCAUCUGGAUCUUCUCUGACACACUGACAUUUUUAGCAUGCAUUUUCCUGACUGCAGGUCUGAGGCAGUGUCGCCAGGAGAUUAUGGCUGGAGAUCAUGAAAUCACUGGGAAUAAGACUUGCAAGAUCACACCGUUAACUAGAAAUUCAAUUAUUCAAAUGUGGCUCCAGAAUGCAGGGGGCUCAGCAAGCAUGUAGGCUAAUAUUUAGACUUGCUGAAUCUCUAAUCUCACUCCUUAAAGUGUUACAACAGCUCUUUUUUUCUUUUUUCUUUUUUUUUAAAAAAAAAAAAAACAAAAACACACAAAAACCUGUGCAAGUAUUUCACUGCUAAUUGUGCUGUCGAUUCACUUUUCUAAAUUUAAAAAGUCCUGCCUCCAAGAUUGUGAUUUUGGAAUUUGGGAUCAUAAAUUAAGCCCUUUUAUGAAAGAAAUAAGAAGUUUGCUGUUGUUUUUAAUAAGAUUUUAUGGUAAGUAUGGCAACAGUAAGUCUGUCAGUCUGGGCUUUGCUGCACAUGUGUAGCUCUGUGCUUUGAGACCCUCAAAAUGUCUGUUUUUAGGACAUCAGCAGGGGGCUAAUGAAAAGGCUUUGUUGAUUUUAACGAAUUGCAAGCCACUGUAGCCAAAAUAAAUAUAAUCUGCUUUUUGGAUUAGUUGUCACACAUGAUUUUACCUACUAACAGUGAUUAAAGAACCCUGGUGGACCAGAAGCAUAGCUGCUCUCUGGUGACUCUUGCUAAAAUAGCAAUAAACAGAAGUAAAUAAAGACUUAGGGCAUUAGUUAUCUUUAAUAAACAGUGACACUGCACAUAAUGUUUGAGGGAGACUUCAAAAACCUGUGUCGUGCACAGCAGUGUCACUUCUUCCAGUGCAGAGAGCACAGGUCAUGCAAGAGGACCGAUCACAGUACCUGGUAUCAGCAAGGCAGUGGCACGGAGCUGCUCAUCUCAUCUCAGUGACCUGUAGCCCCACAUCCAGGGCUGCCAACCCCACUGAGCACCUCACCGAGACCCUCAGUGUUGAGACAUUUUCACCCAGUGGUGGACCACAGGAACAAAGUUUAAAAUGUUUGAAACUAGAGGGAUUGCAACAGGAAAAUGAAUGGAGUGUUAAUUGCUUGUGUAAUUAUGCAACGUCCUAACCGCUGUAAUUACAUCCAGUUAAUGAAUGGAGGACCAGUACUGGUCUCUCCUACCUUAGCGUUUAUAAGCUGGUACAAAGAAUGACUUGCCCCUUGACAUCUUUUAUCCCUGGUAUUUUCCCUGUAAUAAAGGAUGGGUGUGUUUCCUCAUCCCAUUCACGUUUGUUGUGAGAGGCAACAAUUACCACUGAUGGCACUGUACUACUCCUUUGUACUAACUGUUGCUUUUAAUCAGUGGAUAGAAGAAACAAAACAAAUGAAAGCAUGUUUUCUCUUCAUAGAGGGAAUUAUUUCUGUAGCACUGAAUGUUGGCAACAAUUUUAGGCUGUACUGUAUGGGAGGAAAACACCUUCCUGAGAGGGGCAAGGAAUGAAGGAGUUUCCUAUCAGGAACAUGGAAAGUCAGAAAUUUUGAAAAAUAAAAUAAUUUAAAUCGAGGGAGUGCAAAACACAAGAAUAAUUACUUUAGGGAAAAAUCCUAGCAAAACAGGGAGGGGGGCUGAGCUUUCUAAUGAGCCUUCAACUUUUAUUCAUCUGUCCCUAAUUGUACACCCCUGGAAGGCACAUGGCACUGCUCUGCAAAGAGUUUCUCUCUUCUAUGACAGCUAAAACCCUUCAAAUUAAUCAAGUAAACAUCCUCAGGCAUUUUAGAAUUUUAUAACUCUUUUCUGAUGCAUGGAUUUAAAUUCUUGUUCAGUGUUUCGGGUGAAGUAGUGCAGUGGUUACAAUAUACUCCUGACUUUACAAUCUGUGAAAAAAAGCUUUGAUACCCUGCUCAGGAAGGGAGCAAGACCUACAAAGGCCCCAUCCCUCUCUUGGCUGGAAGUCAUUAGGAGUUUGGAGAAUUGCCCGAUGGUGUAAUUCAAGUCUUGACUGCAUAUCUUAUUGGUUAAAAAUAGGAGCCAACUCCAGCUCAUCAGUUUUGCUAAGAAACUAUUGAUUGUGAUUAGCAAGCUUAAAAAUAAUUACCUGGUGUGUUCAUUGCUAUCUUUGGACAUACUCUCAUAUUCCUACUCUUACAGAAAGUAUUGAGCAGCACAAUAGGGCUAUUUGAUGACUAAGGUGUUGCAUGCACUGUGUGGAGGGGAGGGAGGGUACUGAGCACUUCCACCUCCUGGUGACUGACACCUGCACUGGGGAGAAACCCCCCUGGCCUCAUAGCAAAUUCGCAGAGGGUGCAGAGGAGCUGUGUAGAUCCCCCCUUGUUCCCACAAGGGCACAUCUGUAUUUCCAGUUCUUCCCAGGUGCAGUCACCACUGUUACCACUCAGCUUUUCUUUGGCAGCCCCAAACCCACCUAGUACCAUGGCUGCUGCAUCCUGCAGAGGAAUAAGUUACUGAUUUACUUAGCACCUAGGGAAAGGGAGUUUCACCUGGGUUUUAACACCUACUUUAAAAGCCUGGAGGUGUUGAUUCAUGUGUUUUGAGUUGAUCCAAAGCAGCUGAGGCAAUUAAAAUACCUGGAAGGCUAUCUUUCUGUCUUUGGAAGUUGUUGUCCGUGCAACAGACAGUUCUAGCAAGUGGCUGGAUUAUUGCUACCUACAGAACUGUGUGUUCACAUAAACCUGCAUCUGUUUCAGCCUGUUCAAGCAUGGGCUGUCACCUGAAUAUGUGAGAAGAGUGACUUAUACCUGUCAAGCUCCUGAUACAGAUGCAUGAAAUAUUUUGGAUUUUAAAGCCUUCUGCUUCCUUUUGACUUCAUUGAAAAGAAUCUUCUGGGGAAAAAAAAAAGAUUCAAAGGGUGAGUUUUCUGGUUUUUAUCUAUUUGUCCAGCUUGAAGAUCUCUUCAUCAGCAUGUCAAUGUUAUGCAAAAAUACCCAGGCAGGUUUUAAACGUGCAGAUUGUUAAAGUUUUGGGACCGCAUAUAUGGCGUUAAAAUAGGAGUCUUCUCCAAGGGAUUUCAGAAACAUCUUUCUUCAACCUUUGUGGUGCAUUUAUUUGUACUGUUUUUAUAGCUGUUAUGAUGUGGGGAGAACCCUUCACUGUAACAGCGAUUUAUGCUUUCAAAGGAAACCUGUUUGUAGGAACUGGUUUUAAGUUGCCAUUAUAUUUUAACAUCAGCAUUUGUGGCUUCAAAUUGAGCCUACAUGAAAAUAACUAGAGAAUCCUCUGAC